This is an RNA transcript of Brachypodium distachyon (stiff brome), 1813 nucleotides long. It is a transcript of the gene named ubiquitin-NEDD8-like protein RUB2, with no coding region annotated. Lineage: Eukaryota; Viridiplantae; Streptophyta; Magnoliopsida; Poales; Poaceae. The transcript has 2 exons. The record is from RefSeq and is a predicted model, not a curated record.
CACAAACAAAACAAAACACCCUUUCUGUAACAAACAGCUAGCGUAUCAAACUAUCAAGAGAAGAAGGCAAUGGGGGGCAAAACCCAGUUUCUUCUCUGCCUGCUCGUUGCUUUCCUCCUCGUCGCCAUGGAGGUUGCGGCUGCCAGGAUGCUAGCUGAAACAAGUGACACCAGUAGCUACUCGGGGGGUUGGGGAGGCCCGCAACCGCAAAGUUAUGGUGCUGUUCCUGUUCCUACUCCUAGGCAACCAUAGGCCCGGAGAUUAUGUGUAUUGUACGACACUUAUAUUCUUAUUUCCACGUAAGUAAUUCAGGUUUACAUAUACUUCCACGACAAAUAAACGACACAUGCGCAGGUGGAGCGACAUGUAUCGAUAUCAUUCUUUGACAUGUAUCAAUGUAUCAUGAGUUCAUGACCGUUAAACUAUCCAUAUAUAUUGCCUUUUUUGGCCUAGCUGAUAUUUGUUGGUCUUUCAUGUUCAUUUAACUUUAUGAUGAUCAUCCCAAGUACGUAGUAAUAUUUUUGACAGUAGUUUGUGCCAAUGCAUCAGUUUUGCAAUGCAAUGCGGCCGGUGACAAGUCAUUGAGUUGUCCUUUUGCUUCCUUCAUCUCUCUUGUUAUUUCCUUUUCGUUUUUUUUUCCUUUUUGGGGAUAUACUCUACAACAUGGGCUAAGAAUUAAGAUGACAGGAAUAAUCACUGGCCGGUAGACAAUCAUACUUGUAGGAGCUUCGAAACUGAAUCCUUCUAUAGAUGGGGGCAAAAUACAGUUGGAAGAUGGGUUUGCUUCAUACAGAGACCGGGAUGAUCCCUUCUUUUCUUCACAAUAUAUAUGGCUUUACUUCAGAUGGAGGGGCCGCAGGGCAUGAAAACCACCCAGCACAUGGCCAACAGUGCUCGAGGUUCAUCGUAAACAGUCAGUUGGGGAAACGUAGCAUGAACGGAAAUGGGCAAUGGCUUGGCCGGCGUACGGACGCCAUUAGCAAAGGAGCAUGCAUGCUCAGAGAUCUUUGGUCGGCCGGAUAAACCCCAUAUAUACACUUUGUUAGAAAUCCAUACAGCGCGAACGGUCGAAAUCCUAGAAAAGAAUCAAGUCUUGUUUGAGCCAGAAUUUGUGUAGCACGUAGUACAUACUGAUUGGUGUAGUGAGUCCGUGCCGGAUCAUGCCACGACGCCACGCAUGUGUGUCGUCCACGGAUCGGAGUUCAAACCCGACUCGAACCCAAGCCCAAGCCCAAUUAACUUGUCGACCCAUCUAUAAAUGUACGCGACCCCAGCAAACACAGAAGCCCCAUCGAAAUCGCAAGCAAACCAACCGGCCAAGAGAAACAAACAACAGAAGCGAGAUCUCACCAAGAUGCAGAUCUUCGUCAAGACCCUGACAGGCAAGACGAUCACGCUGGAGGUGGAGUCCUCGGACACGAUCGACAACGUCAAGGCCAAGGUGCAGGACAAGGAGGGCAUCCCGCCGGACCAGCAGCGGCUCAUCUUCGCGUAGCUGGAGGACGGCCGCACCCUGGCCGACUACAACAUCCAGAAGGAGUCCACGCUCCACCUGGUGCUCCGCCUCAGGGGAGGCACCACCAUCAAGAUCAAGACGCUGACGGGCAAGGAGAUCGCCAUCGACAUCGAGCCCACGGACACCAUCGACAGGAUCAAGGAGCGCAUCGAGGAGAAGGAAGGCAUCCCGCCCGUGCAGCAGCGGCUCAUCUUUGGCGGCAAGCAGAUCGCCGACGACAAGACGGCCAUGGACUACAACAUUAAGGCCGGCGACGUGCUGCACCUUGUUCUUGCUCUCAGGGGAGGCCGCUGCUGA